UACAGGGGGUGCAAACGUUGCUCGGAAUUAUUGGGCGUAAAGCGCGCGUAGGCGGCCGCUUAAGUCGGAUGUGAAAGCCCCUGGCUCAACUGGGGAAGUGCACCCGAAACUGAGUGGCUUGAGUACUAAAGAGGGUCGCGGAAUUCCCGGUGUAGAGGUGAAAUUCGUAGAUAUCGGGAGGAACACCGGUGGCGAAGGCGGCGACCUGGGUAGAUACUGACGCUGAGGCGCGAAAGCUAGGGGAGCGAACAGGA
Molecule: ribosomal RNA, 254 nt
Filed under: uncultured bacterium
Lineage: Bacteria
Description: partial 16S ribosomal RNA
Rfam family: Bacterial small subunit ribosomal RNA
Source: RNAcentral